GAAGAGUUUGAUCAUGGCUCAGAUUGAACGCUGGCGGCAGGCCUAACACAUGCAAGUCGAACGGUAACAGGAAGCAGCUUGCUGCUUUGCUGACGAGUGGCGGACGGGUGAGUAAUGUCUGGGAAACUGCCUGAUGGAGGGGGAUAACUACUGGAAACGGUGGCUAAUACCGCAUAACGUCGCAAGACCAAAGAGGGGGACCUUCGGGCCUCUUGCCAUCAGAUGUGCCCAGAUGGGAUUAGCUUGUUGGUGAGGUAACGGCUCACCAAGGCGACGAUCCCUAGCUGGUCUGAGAGGAUGACCAGCCACACUGGAACUGAGACACGGUCCAGACUCCUACGGGAGGCAGCAGUGGGGAAUAUUGCACAAUGGGCGCAAGCCUGAUGCAGCCAUGCCGCGUGUAUGAAGAAGGCCUUCGGGUUGUAAAGUACUUUCAGCGGGGAGG
Molecule: ribosomal RNA, 445 nt
Filed under: Salmonella enterica subsp. enterica serovar Derby
Lineage: Bacteria; Pseudomonadati; Pseudomonadota; Gammaproteobacteria; Enterobacterales; Enterobacteriaceae
Also listed under: 7 other names
Description: bacterial SSU rRNA
Rfam family: Bacterial small subunit ribosomal RNA
Source: RNAcentral